This 498-nucleotide ribosomal RNA is filed under the name uncultured bacterium. RNAcentral describes it as "partial 16S ribosomal RNA". It matches the Rfam family "Bacterial small subunit ribosomal RNA", at positions 30 to 523 of the family's 1533-position model. The record is from RNAcentral.
AUUGAACGCUGGCGGCAUGCUUUACACAUGCAAGUCGAACGGUAACAGGCCGCAAGGUGCUGACGAGUGGCGAACGGGUGAGUAAUGCAUCGGAACGUGCCCAGUCGUGGGGGAUAACUAUCCGAAAGGAUAGCUAAUACCGCAUACGAUCUGCGGAUGAAAGCGGGGGACCUUCGGGCCUCGCGCGAUUGGAGCGGCCGAUGUCAGAUUAGGUAGUUGGUGGGGUAAAGGCUAACCAAGCCAAUGAUCUGUAGCUGGUCUGAGAGGACGACCAGCCACACUGGGACUGAGACACGGCCCAGACUCCUACGGGAGGCAGCAGUGGGGAAUUUUGGACAAUGGGCGCAAGCCUGAUCCAGCAAUGCCGCGUGCAGGAAGAAGGCCUUCGGGUUGUAAACUGCUUUUGUACGGAGCGAAAAGGCUCCCUCUAAUACAGGGGGCUCAUGACGGUACCGUAAGAAUAAGCACCGGCUAACUACGUGCCAGCCGCCGCAGUAA